This 803-nucleotide ribosomal RNA is filed under the name Klebsiella pneumoniae. RNAcentral describes it as "partial 23S ribosomal RNA". It matches the Rfam family "Bacterial large subunit ribosomal RNA", at positions 701 to 1506 of the family's 2925-position model. Lineage: Bacteria; Pseudomonadati; Pseudomonadota; Gammaproteobacteria; Enterobacterales; Enterobacteriaceae. The record is from RNAcentral.
UGCAGGGUAUAGACCCGAAACCCGGUGAUCUAGCCAUGGGCAGGUUGAAGGUUGGGUAACACUAACUGGAGGACCGAACCGACUAAUGUUGAAAAAUUAGCGGAUGACUUGUGGCUGGGGGUGAAAGGCCAAUCAAACCGGGAGAUAGCUGGUUCUCCCCGAAAGCUAUUUAGGUAGCGCCUCGUGAAUUCAUCUUCGGGGGUAGAGCACUGUUUCGGCUAGGGGGUCAUCCCGACUUACCAACCCGAUGCAAACUACGAAUACCGAAGAAUGUUAUCACGGGAGACACACGGCGGGUGCUAACGUCCGUCGUGAAGAGGGAAACAACCCAGACCGCCAGCUAAGGUCCCAAAGUCAUGGUUAAGUGGGAAACGAUGUGGGAAGGCACAGACAGCCAGGAUGUUGGCUUAGAAGCAGCCAUCAUUUAAAGAAAGCGUAAUAGCUCACUGGUCGAGUCGGCCUGCGCGGAAGAUGUAACGGGGCUAAACCAUGCACCGAAGCUGCGGCAGCGACACUAUGUGUUGUUGGGUAGGGGAGCGUUCUGUAAGCCUGCGAAGGUGUGCUGUGAGGCAUGCUGGAGGUAUCAGAAGUGCGAAUGCUGACAUAAGUAACGAUAAAGCGGGUGAAAAGCCCGCUCGCCGGAAGACCAAGGGUUCCUGUCCAACGUUAAUCGGGGCAGGGUGAGUCGACCCCUAAGGCGAGGCCGAAAGGCGUAGUCGAUGGGAAACAGGUUAAUAUUCCUGUACUUGGUGUUACUGCGAAGGGGGGACGGAGAAGGCUAUGUUAGCCGGGCGACGGUUGUC